AGUGGCGGACGGGUGAGUAACGCGUGAGAAUCUGCCUUGGGGUCGGGGACAACCACUGGAAACGGUGGCUAAUACCGGAUAAGCCGAUUGGUGAAAGAUUUAUUGCCCGAAGAGGAGCUCGCGUCUGAUUAGCUAGUUGGUGAGGUAAGAGCUCACCAAGGCAGCGAUCAGUAGCUGGUCUGAGAGGACGAUCAGCCACACUGGGACUGAGACACGGCCCAGACUCCUACGGGAGGCAGCAGUGGGGAAUUUUCCGCAAUGGGCGAAAGCCUGACGGAGCAAGACCGCGUGAGGGAGGAAGGCUCUUGGGUUGUAAACCUCUUUUCUCAGGGAAGAAGCUCUGACGGUACCUGAGGAAUCAGCCUCGGCUAACUCCGUGCCAGCAGCCGCGGUAAUACGGAGAGGCAAGCGUUAUCCGGAAUUAUUGGGCGUAAAGCGUCCGCAGGUGGCGAUUCAAGUCUGCUGUCAAAGCACGGGGCUUAACUCCGUAAAGGCAGUGGAAACUGAAUAGCUAGAGUGCCGUAGGGGUAGAGGGAAUUCCCGGUGUAGCGGUGAAAUGCGUAGAGAUCGGGAAGAACAUCGGUGGCGAAAGCGCUCUACUGGACGGCAACUGACACUCAGGGACGAAAGCUAGGGGAGCGAAUGGGAUUAGAUACCCC
This 659-nucleotide ribosomal RNA is filed under the name uncultured bacterium. RNAcentral describes it as "bacterial SSU rRNA". It matches the Rfam family "Bacterial small subunit ribosomal RNA", at positions 94 to 788 of the family's 1533-position model. The record is from RNAcentral.